RNAcentral lists this small RNA (28 nucleotides) under Bombyx mori (domestic silkworm). Its description in RNAcentral is "ovarian small RNA-4927". The record is from RNAcentral. Lineage: Eukaryota; Metazoa; Arthropoda; Insecta; Lepidoptera; Bombycidae.
CUACCAAGGAGGAGGUGGCAGCCGCGAA